RNAcentral lists this ribosomal RNA (229 nucleotides) under uncultured bacterium. RNAcentral's name for it is "partial 16S ribosomal RNA". It matches the Rfam family "Bacterial small subunit ribosomal RNA", at positions 568 to 796 of the family's 1533-position model. The record is from RNAcentral.
UCCGUAGGUGGAUAAUUAAGUCAGAGGUGAAAUCCUGCAGCUCGACUGUAGAAUUGCCUUUGAUACUGGUUAUCUUGAGUCAUUAUGAAGUGGUUAGAAUGUGUAGUGUAGCGGUGAAAUGCAUAGAUAUUACACAGAAUACCGAUUGCGAAGGCAGAUCACUAAUAAUGUACUGACACUGAGGGACGAAAGCGUGGGGAGCGAACAGGAUUAGAUACCCUGGUAGUCC